Molecule: long non-coding RNA, 13914 nt
Organism: Bubalus bubalis (water buffalo)
Lineage: Eukaryota; Metazoa; Chordata; Mammalia; Artiodactyla; Bovidae
Exons: 7
Source: RefSeq, a predicted model, not a curated record
UUCAUUUGGCAGAAAGCGCAUCAUCUUACCCUCGAGAUAAGUCCACACAAGGUGCCUUAGACAACACAGGAGGAGGUCUUCCAUAAGGAAGUCAUUCUGGCUCUCUCGGAAAACAUAAUGAAGAUCACCUUGCUUUCGGUCAGGCGGUGGCUGCGACUUAAUUCGCAGGGGUGCCUGAGCGUCUCUGCAGAGAGGCCAGGGUCACUACAGACAGAAGCUGAAAGUCGUUCACCACUCUUGUAGUGAGGAGAGGCCCCGCACAGGGUACAGGCACCUAGGAAAGCCGCAGAUUUUACAGCCCUGUGGAAGUUUGAGGGAGCGUGUCAAAGCCUGAGCUGAGAUCUGGUGGUUUGCAGACGAAAAAAGGGCUCCAGGAAGUGGGGAGUGGGGUGGGGAGCCAAGCAAGCUGCUGGCAUAUCCCCUUUUCAAUAAGCUGUGCGUGUUUGGAGCUCUGAAGGCAGUCUCUGAGAAGCCGGGGACCGGGACCAUGGGACUAUGAGCUACAUGUGUGUGAGAAUCAAAUAUGGGGGUACUUGUGUCUCGAGAGGGCUGAGAAAGCUUGCUAGGGGUAGUGUCAUUGCACCCGAAUCCUUGGGCGCGUUGUGGCCAUCAGAAGCCGUGCAGAGACUCCAGAUGGCGGGAGACACAGUUCCCGAAGCUCCUUGAGUGCAGGCGUCUCUGAGGGCGCUGACGGGACUGUCUGUUGACUCUAAUGUGGAAGGAAGAUGUGUACAUGAGCAGUGUGUUGCCUCAGAACCCCAGGAAAGGACCAGAAGGUGUGAGACGUCUGUGUCCUUAGCACAUGAAACGGGCUUCCACUGCAUCUCCUUGAAGGCGGAUGUCGUCCUGAAACCUCACACUGCUGCCCAAAGAAGUGUGGUGGGUGCGGCUGCUCCGCUCUCAAACAAGUAGACCGGCCAGUUCAGCUGAUCGUCUUCCUUGAGACGCGACAAGGACGUCAAGUAUCCCUCACCAAAUCGUUGCCAAGUCGUUCCAAAUGCCGUUUAAACCGGAUUUGCCCGUAUUGCUUCAUCACGUUCUUUCUUAAAGCAACACGACAUCUUGGGUGCAACGGAAACGAGAAACCAGUUUCUCGUAGCACCAGCAAUCUUUCCUGUCAAACACUUCAAACUAGGUUUCACUGCACGCAGACAAACCAGUUCAAUAAACUCCUUUAACACGUCUUGGUAGGGUGAUUCAUUUGGCAGAAAGAGCAUCAUCUUACCCUCGAGAUAAGUCCACACAAGGUGCCUUAGACAACACAGGAGGAGGUCUUCCAUAAGGAAGUCAUUCUGGCUCUCUCGCAAAACAUAAUGAAUAUCGCCUUGCUUUCGGUCAGGCGGUGGCUGCGACUUAAUUCGCAGGGGUGCCUGAGCGUCUCUGCAGAGAGGCCACGGUCACUACAGACAGAAGCUGAAAGUCGUUCACCGCUCUCGUAGUGAGGAGAGGCCCCGCACAGGGUGCAGGCACCCAGGGAAAGCCGCAGAUUUUAAAGCCCUGUGGAAGUUUGAGGGAGCGUGUCAAAGCCUGAGCUGAGAUCUGGUGGUUUGCAGACGAAAAAAGGGCUCCAGGAAGUGAGGAGUGGGGUGGGGAGCCAAGCCAGCUGCUGGCAUAUCCCUUUUUCAAUAAGCCGAGUGUGUUUGGAGCUCUGGAGGCAGUCUCUGAGAAGCCGGGGCCCGGGACCGUGGGACUAUGAGCUACGUGUGUGUGAGAAUCAAAUAUGGGGGUACUUGUGUCUCGAGAGGGCUGAGAAAGCUUGCUAGGGGUAGUGUCAUUGCACCCGAAUCCUUGGGCGCGUUGUGGCCAUCAGAAGCCGUGCAGAGACUCCAGAUGGCGGGAGACACAGUUCCCGAAGCUCCUUGAGUGCAGGCGUCUCUGAGGGCGCUGACGGGACUGUCUGUUGACUCUAAUGUGGAAGGAAGAUGUGUACAUGAGCAGUGUGUUGCCUCAGAACCCCAGGAAAGGACCAGAAGGUGUGAGACGUCUGUGUCCUUAGCACAUGAAACGGGCUUCCACUGCAUCUCCUUGAAGGCGGAUGUCGUCCUGAAACCUCACACUGCUGCCCAAAGAAGUGUGGUGGGUGCGGCUGCUCCGCUCUCAAACAAGUAGACCGGCCAGGUUGGUGGAAAGAAGGAAAGUUUGCUUUAUUUCAGACGCCGGCGGGCCGGGGGGAGGAUGCUGGACACCUGUCCAAAGGCCGACUGAUGGCUCCGCCACCAAAAGCCUUCCUGGCAACCAGUGGGGCAAGAGCUUUUCCAGACAGAAGUGCGAGGGGGCUGCUAUAUGCUGAAACAGCACCAUCAGCUGCUAUAUUUUCUCAAGAAAAUACAGGAAAAGAACAUUACUUAAGACUUGUUGCCUGACUAAACAAGGUUAAAACUAUCUACUUGCUAUUGAGUACAUUUGCACAGGGGCUGUCCCUCCUGACAUGUAACUAAAUUUGUCAGCACAAACUGGAUGGGGAAGCUACAGGGGGAAACGCACACACAAAACAGGUGUAGAAGUCAUGCCGUUUUCAAAUCCUUUCAAUUCUCGUUCAUAGUUCAGCUGAUCGUCUUCCUUGAGACGCGACAAGGACGUCAAGUAUCCCUCACCAAAUCGUUGCCAAGUCGUUCCAAAUGCCGUUUAAACCGGAUUUGUCCGUAUUGCUUCAUCACGUUCUUUCUUAAAGCAACACGACAUCUUGGGUGCAACGGAAACGAGAAACCAGUUUCUCGUAGCACCAGCAAUCUUUCCUGUCAAACACUUCAAACUAGGUUUCAUUGCACGCAGACAAACCAGUUCAAUAAACUCCUUUAACACGUCUUGGUAGGAUGAUUCAUUUGGCAGAAAGCGCAUCAUCUUACCCUCGAGAUAAGUCCACACAAGGUGCCUUAGACAACACAGGAGGAGGUCUUCCAUAAGGAAGUCAUUCUGGCUCUCUCGGAAAACAUAAUGAAGAUCACCUUGCUUUCGGUCAGGCGGUGGCUGCGACUUAAUUCGCAGGGGUGCCUGAGCGUCUCUGCAGAGAGGCCAGGGUCACUACAGACAGAAGCUGAAAGUCGUUCACCACUCUUGUAGUGAGGAGAGGCCCCGCACAGGGUACAGGCACCUAAGGAAAGCCGCAGAUUUUACAGCCCUGUGGAAGUUUGAGGGAGCGUGUCAAAGCCUGAGCUGAGAUCUGGUGGUUUGCAGACGAAAAAAGGGCUCCAGGAAGUGGGGAGUGGGGUGGGGAGCCAAGCAAGCUGCUGGCAUAUCCCCUUUUCAAUAAGCUGUGCGUGUUUGGAGCUCUGAAGGCAGUCUCUGAGAAGCCGGGGACCGGGACCAUGGGACUAUGAGCUACGUGUGUGUGAGAAUCAAAUAUGGGGGUACUUGUGUCUCGAGAGGGCUGAGAAAGCUUGCUAGGGGUAGUGUCAUUGCACCCGAAUCCUUGGGCGCGUUGUGGCCAUCAGAAGCCGUGCAGAGACUCCAGAUGGCGGGAGACACAGUUCCCGAAGCUCCUUGAGUGCAGGCGUCUCUGAGGGCGCUGACGGGACUGUCUGUUGACUCUAAUGUGGAAGGAAGAUGUGUACAUGAGCAGUGUGUUGCCUCAGAACCCCAGGAAAGGACCAGAAGGUGUGAGACGUCUGUGUCCUUAGCACAUGAAACGGGCUUCCACUGCAUCUCCUUGAAGGCGGAUGUCGUCCUGAAACCUCACACUGCUGCCCAAAGAAGUGUGGUGGGUGCGGCUGCUCCGCUCUCAAACAAGUAGACCGGCCAGUUCAGCUGAUCGUCUUCCUUGAGACGCGACAAGGACGUCAAGUAUCCCUCACCAAAUCGUUGCCAAGUCGUUCCAAAUGCCGUUUAAACCGGAUUUGCCCGUAUUGCUUCAUCACGUUCUUUCUUAAAGCAACACGACAUCUUGGGUGCAACGGAAACGAGAAACCAGUUUCUCGUAGCACCAGCAAUCUUUCCUGUCAAACACUUCAAACUAGGUUUCACUGCACGCAGACAAACCAGUUCAAUAAACUCCUUUAACACGUCUUGGUAGGGUGAUUCAUUUGGCAGAAAGAGCAUCAUCUUACCCUCGAGAUAAGUCCACACAAGGUGCCUUAGACAACACAGGAGGAGGUCUUCCAUAAGGAAGUCAUUCUGGCUCUCUCGCAAAACAUAAUGAAUAUCGCCUUGCUUUCGGUCAGGCGGUGGCUGCGACUUAAUUCGCAGGGGUGCCUGAGCGUCUCUGCAGAGAGGCCACGGUCACUACAGACAGAAGCUGAAAGUCGUUCACCGCUCUCGUAGUGAGGAGAGGCCCCGCACAGGGUACAGGCACCUAGGGAAAGCCGCAGAUUUUAAAGCCCUGUGGAAGUUUGAGGGAGCGUGUCAAAGCCUGAGCUGAGAUCUGGUGGUUUGCAGACGAAAAAAGGGCUCCAGGAAGUGAGGAGUGGGGUGGGGAGCCAAGCCAGCUGCUGGCAUAUCCCUUUUUCAAUAAGCCGAGUGUGUUUGGAGCUCUGGAGGCAGUCUCUGAGAAGCCGGGGCCCGGGACCGUGGGACUAUGAGCUACGUGUGUGUGAGAAUCAAAUAUGGGGGUACUUGUGUCUCGAGAGGGCUGAGAAAGCUUGCUAGGGGUAGUGUCAUUGCACCCGAAUCCUUGGGCGCGUUGGGGCCAUCAGAAGCCGUGCAGAGACUCCAGAUGGCGGGAGACACAGUUCCCGAAGCUCCUUGAGUGCAGGCGUCUCUGAGGGCGCUGACGGGACUGUCUGUUGACUCUAAUGUGGAAGGAAGAUGUGUACAUGAGCAGUGUGUUGCCUCAGAACCCCAGGAAAGGACCAGAAGGUGUGAGACGUCUGUGUCCUUAGCACAUGAAACGGGCUUCCACUGCAUCUCCUUGAAGGCGGAUGUCGUCCUGAAACCUCACACUGCUGCCCAAAGAAGUGUGGUGGGUGCGGCUGCUCCGCUCUCAAACAAGUAGACCGGCCAGGUUGGUGGAAAGAAGGAAAGUUUGCUUUAUUUCAGACGCCGGCGGGCCGGGGGGAGGAUGCUGGACACCUGUCCAAAGGCCGACUGAUGGCUCCCCCACCCAAAGCCUUCCUGGCAACCAGUGGGGCAAGAGCUUUUCCAGACAGAAGUGCGCAGGGGCUGCUAUAUGCUGAAACAGCACCAUCAGCUGCUAUAUUUUCUCAAGAAAAUACAGGAAAAGAACAUUACUUAAGACUUGUUGCCUGACUAAACAAGGUUAAAACUAUCUACUUGCUAUUGAGUACAUUUGCACAGGGGCUGUCCCUCCUGACGUGUAACUAAAUUUGUCAGCACAAACUGGAUGGGGAAGCUACAGGGGGAAACGCACACACAAAACAGGUGUAGAAGUCAUGCCGUUUUCAAAUCCUUUCAAUUCUCGUUCAUAGUUCAGCUGAUCGUCUUCCUUGAGACGCGACAAGGACGUCAAGUAUCCCUCACCAAAUCGUUGCCAAGUCGUUCCAAAUGCCGUUUAAACCGGAUUUGUCCGUAUUGCUUCAUCACGUUCUUUCUUAAAGCAACACGACAUCUUGGGUGCAACGGAAACGAGAAACCAGUUUCUCGUAGCACCAGCAAUCUUUCCUGUCAAACAGUUCAAACUAGGUUUCACUGCACGCAGACAAACCAGUUCAAUAAACUCCUUUAACACGUCUUGGUAGGGUGAUUCAUUUGGCAGAAAGAGCAUCAUCUUACCCUCGAGAUAAGUCCACACAAGGUGCCUUAGACAGCACAGGAGGAGGUCUUGCAUAAAGGAAGUCGUUCUGGCUCUCUCGGAAAACAUAAUGAAUAUCGCCUUGCUUUCGGUCAGGCGUUGGCUGCGACUUAAUUCGCAGGGGUGCCUGAGCGUCUCUGCAGAGAGGCCCGGGUCACUACAGACAGAAGCUGAAAGUCGUUCACCGCUCUCGUAGUGAGGAGAGGCCCCGCACAGGGUGCAGGCACCCAGGGAAAGCCGCAGGUUUUAAAGCCCUGUGGAAGUUUGAGGGGGCGUGUCAAAGCCUGAGCUGAGAUCUGGUGGUUUGCAGACAAAAAAAGGGCUCCAGGAAGUGGGGAGUUGGGGGGGGGGGAGCCAAGCCAGCUGCUGGCAUAUCACUUUUUCCAUAAGCCGAGUGUGUUUGGAGCUCUGGAGGCAUUCUCUGAGAAGCCGGGGACCGGGACCGUGGGACUAUGAGCUACAUGUGUGUGAGAAUCAAAUAUGGGGGUACUUGUGUCUCGAGAGGGCUGAGAAAGCUUGCUAGGGGUAGUGUCAUUGCACCCGAAUCCUUGGGCGCGUUGGGGCCAUCAGAAGCCGUGCAGAGACUCCAGAUGGCGGGAGACACAGUUCCCGAAGCUCCUUGAGUGCAGACAUCUCUGAGGGCGCUGACGGGACUGUCUGUUGACUCUAAUGUGGAAGGAAGAUGUGUACAUGAGCAGUGUGUUGCCUCAGAACCCCAGGAAAGGACCAGAAGGUGUGAGACGUCUGUGUCCUUAGCACAUGAAACGGGCUUCCACUGCAUCUCCUUGAAGGCGGAUGUCGUCCUGAAACCUCACACUGCUGCCCAAAGAAGUGUGGUGGGUGCGGCUGCUCCGCUCUCAAACAAGUAGACUGGCCAGGUUGGUGGAAAGAAGGAAAGUUUGCUUUAUUUCAGACGCCGGCGGGCCGGGGGGAGGAUGCUGGACACCUGUCCAAAGGCCGACUGACCGCUCCCCCACCCAAAGCCUUCCUGGCAACCAGUGGGGCAAGAGCUUUUCCAGACAGAAGUGCGAGGGGGCUGCUAUAUGCUGAAACAGCACCAUCAGCUGCUAUAUUUUCUCAAGAAAAUACAGGAAAAGAACAUUACUUAAGACGUGUUGCCUGACUAAACAAGGUUAAAACUAUCUACUUGCUAUUGAGUACUUUUGCACAGGGGCUGUCCCUCCUGACGUAUAACUAAAUUUGUCAGCACAAACUGGAUGGGGAAGCUACAGGGGGAAACACACACACAAAACAGGUGUAGAAGUCAUGCCGUUUUCAAAUCCUUUCAAUUCUCGUUCAUAGUUCAGCUGAUCGGCUUCCUUGAGACGCGACAAGGACGUCAAGUAUCCCUCACCAAAUCGUUGCCAAGUCGUUCCAAAUGCCGUUUAAACCGGAUUUGUCCGUAUUGCUUCAUCACGUUCUUUCUUAAAGCAACACGACAUCUUGGGUGCAACGGAAACGAGAAACCAGUUUCUCGUAGCACCAGCAAUCUUUCCUGUCAAACACUUCAAACUAGGUUUCAUUGCACGCAGACAAACCAGUUCAAUAAACUCCUUUAACACGUCUUGGUAGGAUGAUUCAUUUGGCAGAAAGCGCAUCAUCUUACCCUCGAGAUAAGUCCACACAAGGUGCCUUAGACAACACAGGAGGAGGUCUUCCAUAAGGAAGUCAUUCUGGCUCUCUCGGAAAACAUAAUGAAGAUCACCUUGCUUUCGGUCAGGCGGUGGCUGCGACUUAAUUCGCAGGGGUGCCUGAGCGUCUCUGCAGAGAGGCCAGGGUCACUACAGACAGAAGCUGAAAGUCGUUCACCACUCUUGUAGUGAGGAGAGGCCCCGCACAGGGUACAGGCACCUAAGGAAAGCCGCAGAUUUUACAGCCCUGUGGAAGUUUGAGGGAGCGUGUCAAAGCCUGAGCUGAGAUCUGGUGGUUUGCAGACGAAAAAAGGGCUCCAGGAAGUGGGGAGUGGGGUGGGGAGCCAAGCAAGCUGCUGGCAUAUCCCCUUUUCAAUAAGCUGUGCGUGUUUGGAGCUCUGAAGGCAGUCUCUGAGAAGCCGGGGACCGGGACCAUGGGACUAUGAGCUACGUGUGUGUGAGAAUCAAAUAUGGGGGUACUUGUGUCUCGAGAGGGCUGAGAAAGCUUGCUAGGGGUAGUGUCAUUGCACCCGAAUCCUUGGGCGCGUUGUGGCCAUCAGAAGCCGUGCAGAGACUCCAGAUGGCGGGAGACACAGUUCCCGAAGCUCCUUGAGUGCAGGCGUCUCUGAGGGCGCUGACGGGACUGUCUGUUGACUCUAAUGUGGAAGGAAGAUGUGUACAUGAGCAGUGUGUUGCCUCAGAACCCCAGGAAAGGACCAGAAGGUGUGAGAUGUCUGUGUCCUUAGCACAUGAAACGGGCUUCCACUGCAUCUCCUUGAAGGCGGAUGUCGUCCUGAAACCUCACACUGCUGCCCAAAGAAGUGUGGUGGGUGCGGCUGCUCCGCUCUCAAACAAGUAGACCGGCCAGGUUGGUGGAAAGAAGGAAAGUUUGCUUUAUUUCAGACGCCGGCGGGCCGGGGGGAGGAUGCUGGACACCUGUCCAAAGGCCGACUGACCGCUCCCCCAUCAAAGCCUUCCUGGCAACCACUGGGGCAAGAGCUUUUCCAGACAGAAGUGCGCAGGGGCUGCUAUAUGCUGAAACAGCACCGUCAGCUGCUAUAUUUUCUCAAGAAAAUACAGGAAAAGAACAUUACUUAAGACUUGUUGCCUGACUAAACAAGGUUAAAACUAUCUACUUGCUAUUGAGUACUUUUGCACAGGGGCUGUCCCUCCUGACGUGUAACUAAAUUUGUCAGCACAAACUGGAUGGGGAAGCUACAGGGGGAAACGCACACACAAAACAGGUGUAGAAGUCAUGCCGUUUUCAAAUCCUUUCAAUUCUCGUUCAUAGUUCAGCUGAUCGUCUUCCUUGAGACGCGACAAGGACGUCAAGUAUCCCUCACCAAAUCGUUGCCAAGUCGUUCCAAAUGCCGUUUAAACCGGAUUUGCCCGUAUUGCUUCAUCACGUUCUUUCUUAAAGCAACACGACAUCUUGGGUGCAACGGAAACGAGAAACCAGUUUCUCGUAGCACCAGCAAUCUUUCCUGUCAAACACUUCAAACUAGGUUUCACUGCACGCAGACAAACCAGUUCAAUAAACUCCUUUAACACGUCUUGGUAGGGUGAUUCAUUUGGCAGAAAGAGCAUCAUCUUACCCUCGAGAUAAGUCCACACAAGGUGCCUUAGACAACACAGGAGGAGGUCUUCCAUAAGGAAGUCAUUCUGGCUCUCUCGCAAAACAUAAUGAAUAUCGCCUUGCUUUCGGUCAGGCGGUGGCUGCGACUUAAUUCGCAGGGGUGCCUGAGCGUCUCUGCAGAGAGGCCACGGUCACUACAGACAGAAGCUGAAAGUCGUUCACCGCUCUCGUAGUGAGGAGAGGCCCCGCACAGGGUACAGGCACCUAGGGAAAGCCGCAGAUUUUAAAGCCCUGUGGAAGUUUGAGGGAGCGUGUCAAAGCCUGAGCUGAGAUCUGGUGGUUUGCAGACGAAAAAAGGGCUCCAGGAAGUGAGGAGUGGGGUGGGGAGCCAAGCCAGCUGCUGGCAUAUCCCUUUUUCAAUAAGCCGAGUGUGUUUGGAGCUCUGGAGGCAGUCUCUGAGAAGCCGGGGCCCGGGACCGUGGGACUAUGAGCUACGUGUGUGUGAGAAUCAAAUAUGGGGGUACUUGUGUCUCGAGAGGGCUGAGAAAGCUUGCUAGGGGUAGUGUCAUUGCACCCGAAUCCUUGGGCGCGUUGGGGCCAUCAGAAGCCGUGCAGAGACUCCAGAUGGCGGGAGACACAGUUCCCGAAGCUCCUUGAGUGCAGGCGUCUCUGAGGGCGCUGACGGGACUGUCUGUUGACUCUAAUGUGGAAGGAAGAUGUGUACAUGAGCAGUGUGUUGCCUCAGAACCCCAGGAAAGGACCAGAAGGUGUGAGACGUCUGUGUCCUUAGCACAUGAAACGGGCUUCCACUGCAUCUCCUUGAAGGCGGAUGUCGUCCUGAAACCUCACACUGCUGCCCAAAGAAGUGUGGUGGGUGCGGCUGCUCCGCUCUCAAACAAGUAGACCGGCCAGGUUGGUGGAAAGAAGGAAAGUUUGCUUUAUUUCAGACGCCGGCGGGCCGGGGGGAGGAUGCUGGACACCUGUCCAAAGGCCGACUGAUGGCUCCCCCACCCAAAGCCUUCCUGGCAACCAGUGGGGCAAGAGCUUUUCCAGACAGAAGUGCGCAGGGGCUGCUAUAUGCUGAAACAGCACCAUCAGCUGCUAUAUUUUCUCAAGAAAAUACAGGAAAAGAACAUUACUUAAGACUUGUUGCCUGACUAAACAAGGUUAAAACUAUCUACUUGCUAUUGAGUACAUUUGCACAGGGGCUGUCCCUCCUGACGUGUAACUAAAUUUGUCAGCACAAACUGGAUGGGGAAGCUACAGGGGGAAACGCACACACAAAACAGGUGUAGAAGUCAUGCCGUUUUCAAAUCCUUUCAAUUCUCGUUCAUAGUUCAGCUGAUCGUCUUCCUUGAGACGCGACAAGGACGUCAAGUAUCCCUCACCAAAUCGUUGCCAAGUCGUUCCAAAUGCCGUUUAAACCGGAUUUGUCCGUAUUGCUUCAUCACGUUCUUUCUUAAAGCAACACGACAUCUUGGGUGCAACGGAAACGAGAAACCAGUUUCUCGUAGCACCAGCAAUCUUUCCUGUCAAACAGUUCAAACUAGGUUUCACUGCACGCAGACAAACCAGUUCAAUAAACUCCUUUAACACGUCUUGGUAGGGUGAUUCAUUUGGCAGAAAGAGCAUCAUCUUACCCUCGAGAUAAGUCCACACAAGGUGCCUUAGACAGCACAGGAGGAGGUCUUGCAUAAAGGAAGUCGUUCUGGCUCUCUCGGAAAACAUAAUGAAUAUCGCCUUGCUUUCGGUCAGGCGUUGGCUGCGACUUAAUUCGCAGGGGUGCCUGAGCGUCUCUGCAGAGAGGCCCGGGUCACUACAGACAGAAGCUGAAAGUCGUUCACCGCUCUCGUAGUGAGGAGAGGCCCCGCACAGGGUGCAGGCACCCAGGGAAAGCCGCAGGUUUUAAAGCCCUGUGGAAGUUUGAGGGGGCGUGUCAAAGCCUGAGCUGAGAUCUGGUGGUUUGCAGACAAAAAAAGGGCUCCAGGAAGUGGGGAGUGGGGGGGGGGGGGAGCCAAGCCAGCUGCUGGCAUAUCACUUUUUCCAUAAGCCGAGUGUGUUUGGAGCUCUGGAGGCAUUCUCUGAGAAGCCGGGGACCGGGACCGUGGGACUAUGAGCUACAUGUGUGUGAGAAUCAAAUAUGGGGGUACUUGUGUCUCGAGAGGGCUGAGAAAGCUUGCUAGGGGUAGUGUCAUUGCACCCGAAUCCUUGGGCGCGUUGGGGCCAUCAGAAGCCGUGCAGAGACUCCAGAUGGCGGGAGACACAGUUCCCGAAGCUCCUUGAGUGCAGACAUCUCUGAGGGCGCUGACGGGACUGUCUGUUGACUCUAAUGUGGAAGGAAGAUGUGUACAUGAGCAGUGUGUUGCCUCAGAACCCCAGGAAAGGACCAGAAGGUGUGAGACGUCUGUGUCCUUAGCACAUGAAACGGGCUUCCACUGCAUCUCCUUGAAGGCGGAUGUCGUCCUGAAACCUCACACUGCUGCCCAAAGAAGUGUGGUGGGUGCGGCUGCUCCGCUCUCAAACAAGUAGACUGGCCAGGUUGGUGGAAAGAAGGAAAGUUUGCUUUAUUUCAGACGCCGGCGGGCCGGGGGGAGGAUGCUGGACACCUGUCCAAAGGCCGACUGACCGCUCCCCCACCCAAAGCCUUCCUGGCAACCAGUGGGGCAAGAGCUUUUCCAGACAGAAGUGCGAGGGGGCUGCUAUAUGCUGAAACAGCACCAUCAGCUGCUAUAUUUUCUCAAGAAAAUACAGGAAAAGAACAUUACUUAAGACGUGUUGCCUGACUAAACAAGGUUAAAACUAUCUACUUGCUAUUGAGUACUUUUGCACAGGGGCUGUCCCUCCUGACGUAUAACUAAAUUUGUCAGCACAAACUGGAUGGGGAAGCUACAGGGGGAAACACACACACAAAACAGGUGUAGAAGUCAUGCCGUUUUCAAAUCCUUUCAAUUCUCGUUCAUAGUUCAGCUGAUCGGCUUCCUUGAGACGCGACAAGGACGUCAAGUAUCCCUCACCAAAUCGUUGCCAAGUCGUUCCAAAUGCCGUUUAAACCGGAUUUGUCCGUAUUGCUUCAUCACGUUCUUUCUUAAAGCAACACGACAUCUUGGGUGCAACGGAAACGAGAAACCAGUUUCUCGUAGCACCAGCAAUCUUUCCUGUCAAACACUUCAAACUAGGUUUCAUUGCACGCAGACAAACCAGUUCAAUAAACUCCUUUAACACGUCUUGGUAGGAUGAUUCAUUUGGCAGAAAGCGCAUCAUCUUACCCUCGAGAUAAGUCCACACAAGGUGCCUUAGACAACACAGGAGGAGGUCUUCCAUAAGGAAGUCAUUCUGGCUCUCUCGGAAAACAUAAUGAAGAUCACCUUGCUUUCGGUCAGGCGGUGGCUGCGACUUAAUUCGCAGGGGUGCCUGAGCGUCUCUGCAGAGAGGCCAGGGUCACUACAGACAGAAGCUGAAAGUCGUUCACCACUCUUGUAGUGAGGAGAGGCCCCGCACAGGGUACAGGCACCUAAGGAAAGCCGCAGAUUUUACAGCCCUGUGGAAGUUUGAGGGAGCGUGUCAAAGCCUGAGCUGAGAUCUGGUGGUUUGCAGACGAAAAAAGGGCUCCAGGAAGUGGGGAGUGGGGUGGGGAGCCAAGCAAGCUGCUGGCAUAUCCCCUUUUCAAUAAGCUGUGCGUGUUUGGAGCUCUGAAGGCAGUCUCUGAGAAGCCGGGGACCGGGACCGUGCUACUAUGAGCUACGUGUGUGUGAGAAUCAAAUAUGGGGGUACUUGUGUCUCAAGAAGGCUGAGAAAGCUUGCUAGGCGUAGUGUCAUUGCACCCGAAUCCUUGGGCGCGUUGUGGCCAUCAGAAGCCGUGCAGAGACUCCAGAUGGCGGGAGACACAGUUCCCGAAGCUCCUUGAGUGCAGGCGUCUCUGAGGGCGCUGACGGGACUGUCUGUUGACUCUAAUGUGGAAAGAAGAUGUGUACAUGAGCAGUGUGUUGCCUCAGAACCCCAGGAAAGGACCAGAAGGUGUGAGACAUCUGUGUCCUUAGCACAUGAAACGGGCUUCCACUGCAUCUCCUUGAAGGCGGAUGUCGUCCUGAAACCUCACACUGCUGCCCAAAGAAGUGUGGUGGGUGCGGCUGCUCCGCUCUCAAACAAGUAGACCGGCCAGCCCAUACCAGCUUGAAUUUUGCUGCUCCAAGGAAUUAUUUUGAGGAAGGAGAAAGACAAUGUCUGGGACAUCGAGACAUCUCGACCAGCAUCUGGAACACACUUUUUCUGGAAUAUGAGCUGCCUUGGAGAACAGAUGAUAAAGCCCAGCCCUUCCCCUCAAGCUACUAAUGAUUGACAGCAAUUGAAUAAAUGCCCUCUAAUCUGAAACCUCUGCCAGAUGGAAGAAGUGAACUAUGCCGCCCACAAGCAGGAAGACCUGAGACCGGUGGAACCACAAGGGUGAUGCUGCUGCUCCCCAAGACCUCAUCAUGGACCCAACAGAAGAGCGUCCUCAAGUUGAUCAGGCUCUGCUCCUUGAACAAUAUAAGACUCCUCAAACCCCUCCAGGACCAGACACAUGGCCUUUCAUUUAUUUUAAUAUUUUAUUUAUUUAUCUAUUUAUUUGGCUGCGUUGGUUCUGAUUUGCAGAUGCGGGAUAGUCCCUACCUCUGGUGGGAUCUUGCUUGUAGCGCAAAGACUCAUCAGCUGUGGGGCAAGGGCUCAGCUGCUCCUGGACUGUGAGAUCUUAGAUUCCCCACCAGGGAUCGAACCCACGUCCACUGCAUUUCAAGGUGGACUCUAAACCACUGGACCCCCAGGGAAGUCCUAGGACACAGUCUUGAGGGCAAUUUGCCUGCUUGGUCCCCCCUGUGUGGCUAAGCAGUAAAGCUAGUUUUUCCAUUUCACUUAAAUCUCUCUCUCAGAUGUAAUCUGGCCCCAGUACACAGAGGCCCAAUUUUGGCAAGGAGAUCUGGAGGGAAACCAGGAGCAAUUGGAAGAACCGGAUCCUGGGGGCAGGAGGGCUGAGGGACCUGAGUCCCAGC